Molecule: ribosomal RNA, 253 nt
Filed under: uncultured bacterium
Lineage: Bacteria
Description: partial 16S ribosomal RNA
Rfam family: Bacterial small subunit ribosomal RNA
Source: RNAcentral
UACGUAGGGGGCAAGCGUUGUCCGGAAUCAUUGGGCGUAAAGCGCGCGUAGGCGGCCCUGUAAGUCCGUUGUGAAAGUCAAAGGCUCAACCUUUGAAAGCCGAUGGAUACUGCAGGGCUAGAGUCCGGAAGAGGCGAGUGGAAUUCCUGGUGUAGCGGUGGAAUGCGCAGAUAUCAGGAGGAACACCAAUAGCGAAGGCAGCUCGCUGGGACGGUACUGACGCUAAGGCGCGAAAGCGUAGGGAGCGAACAGG